GAUGGCAGAAGAGGAGGACGUUGUGUUUUUGAUGGUGUUGGCGCGGCGAUGAUGGAGAGAGGUUUUCGGUGGAUAUGUGAUGUUCAGAGAGGUGAAUACGGUGGAUGUGGUCGGUUGAAGGAGUGGAGAUGUGAUUGAAAGUGUAACAGCGAUGAAGGAGAUGCGGAGUGGGUCGUUGGUCGGCGUGGAGAGGAAAAUGUAAAGGGUAGUGGUGGUUGUUG
This 221-nucleotide long non-coding RNA is filed under the name Lathyrus oleraceus (garden pea). RNAcentral's name for it is "Pisum sativum (pea) long non-coding RNA (PSAT_LNC029442)". The record is from RNAcentral. Lineage: Eukaryota; Viridiplantae; Streptophyta; Magnoliopsida; Fabales; Fabaceae.